AGUCUAUUUAGAGGAACCUGUUCUGUAAUUGAUAGUCCACGAUUAGAAUUACUUACAUUAAUAUUUACAUAUCGUCGUAGGUUGAAUAUUUUUAUAGAAUUUUUUAAUAUUCAAGAAUUUUUAAAAAAAAAUUCAGAUCAAGGUGUAGUUUACGUGUAAGAAGAAAUGGGUUACAAUAAAUUUAUUUAAACGGAUUAAUUUUGUUAGAAAAAUUAUAAAGGUGGAUUUGAAAGUAAUUUUAAAAAUAUAUUUAGAAUGAUUUUAGCUCUAAAAUAUGUACAUAUUGCCCGUCGCUUUCACUUUAAGGUGGAAUAAGUCGUAACAAAGUAGGUGUACUGGAAAGUGUCCCUGGAAACU
Molecule: ribosomal RNA, 357 nt
Filed under: Ceutorhynchus filiae
Lineage: Eukaryota; Metazoa; Arthropoda; Insecta; Coleoptera; Curculionidae
Description: partial 12S ribosomal RNA
Source: RNAcentral